This is a long non-coding RNA of Oncorhynchus keta (chum salmon), 861 nucleotides long. RefSeq lists it as uncharacterized. NCBI's taxonomy places the organism in Eukaryota, Metazoa, Chordata, Actinopteri, Salmoniformes, Salmonidae. The transcript has 6 exons. The record is from RefSeq and is a predicted model, not a curated record.
AUAUAGACAGUGAUGGUGUAGAGAUGACAGGUUAAAAGCCUGAUAUAGACAGUGAUGGUGUAGAGAUGACAGGAGCAGGUUAAAGCCUGAUAUAGACAGUGAUGGUGUAGAGAUGACAGGAGCAGGUUAAAGCCUGAUAUAGACAGUGAUGGUGUAGAGAUGACAGGAGCAGGUUAACAGCCUGAUAUAGACAGUGAUGGUGUAGAGAUGACAGGUUAAAAGCCUGAUAUAGACAGUGAUGGUGUAGAGAUGACAGGAGCAGGUUAAAAGCCUGAUAUAGACAGUGAUGGUGUAGAGAUGACAGGUUAAAGCCUGAUAUAGACAGUGAUGGUGUAGAGAUGACAGGUUAACAGCCUGAUAUAGACAGUGAUGGUGUAGAGAUGACAGGAGCAGGUUAAAGCCUGAUAUAGACAGUGAUGGUGUAGAGAUGACAGGAGCAGGUUAAUAGCCUGAUAUAGACAGUGAUGGUGUAGAGAUGACAGGUUAAAGCCUGAUAUAGACAGUGAUGGUGUAGAGAUGACAGGAGCAGGUUAAAGCCUGAUAUAGACAGUGAUGGUGUAGAGAUGACAGGUUAAAGCCUGAUAUAGACAGUGAUGGUGUAGAGAUGACAGGUUAAAGCCUGAUAUAGACAGUGAUGGUGUAGAGAUGACAGGUUAAAAGCCUGAUAUAGACAGUGAUGGUGUAGAGAUGACAGGUUAAAGCCUGAUAUAGACAGUGAUGGUGUAGAGAUGACAGGUUAAAAGCCUGAUAUAGACAGUGAUGGUGUAGAGAUGACAGGUUAAAAGCCUGAUAUAGACAGUGAUGGUGUAGAGAUGACAGGUUAACAGCCUGAUAUGGACAGCGAUGGUGUAGAGAUGACAG